This 16814-nucleotide long non-coding RNA is filed under the name Triticum aestivum (bread wheat). Its description in RNAcentral is "long non-coding RNA (TAES_LNC011006)". The record is from RNAcentral. Lineage: Eukaryota; Viridiplantae; Streptophyta; Magnoliopsida; Poales; Poaceae.
GUUUUUUUUUGUCUUGUAUGUAUCAAUUUAACAUCAGAUACAAACAGCAAUCUAAAAUUUACCCUCAUUGUUAUUACGAAAAACUGACAAUCUAAAUUUGCACUUCAUAAAUAAAUUUAGCAUGAGAUAAGAAACUGCCUCGAGCGCACGAUCUGGUUACUAAUCCAUGGUCACAUACAUAACCGACAAAGACUUCUCGCCACGCUUUAUAAAUAAGCCACAACCAGAUCCGAGAAUGGAAGGCAUCAGCUCACCAAGCCCACAAAAAAUAACAACACACAUGACACAUGGUCACAUACAUACAACACACACGGCUGUAGAUAUGUUGUUCUUUUUGGAAAUGGAAUGUUAUAAUUAUGCGUACAAAAAUUAAAGCUGAACAAAUAUAGUUCAAUUACACGUGGCAUUUUAUUUUAUCAUAAUAUUCUCAAUGGCUAUGGAAUCACAUUAUUACUGACCGUGUAACAUGAAUAUUACUAAAUUGUAAGUUGAUUUCCAUACACCUUUAACACAUUUAAACAAGGGAUAAGUAUAUUUUUCGUCCUCGAAUUCUUCUGAGAGUUUAGAAAUCAUCCCUCAACUCAAAACCGGAUAGUUUUUGUCCCUCAACUAUCAAAACCGGAUAGUUUUCGUCCCUCAUGUCGUUUUGGGCAGUUUUCGUCCGUCAUGAACAGUAAAUUCGAAAAAAUAGCAGAAAAAAAAACUAAAAAAUUGUGGGAUCAAAGUUCCUUGGGUGCGCAAGGUGCGUAAAUUUUUUCAUAUUGAUUGGACAUUCCAGGUGCUCAUGAGAAAGAAAAAUUGUAAAUAUGUACGUCUGUGAACAGUAAAUUAAACAAUAGCAAAAAAUAUGAAAUUUUUUGGCAUCAAAGAUGCAUGGGUGUGCAAGGUCCGUGCAUAUUUUCAUGCUCAAAUGACAUAGGAGGAGCUCUCGCAAAAAAAACAAAAUAGUGCAGUUUUUCAAAGUUUCUUUCGCAGCCAAAUUUUUUUUUGCCACGAGAUCCCACAAUGUCCAAACACAAUAAAAUUUUGCAGACACAUUGAGCACCCGAGCAUCUUGUAUGUCAACAUUUUUCAUAUUUUUUUUAAUUUCUUUUCUAUUUUUUCCGAAUUUACUGUUCACCGGCGUACAUAUUUAUGGUUCUUCCGUUGUCACAAGCUCCUUGAAUGUCUAAAUAGAAAAAAAAAAUAUGCACCUUGUGCACCCAAGGAAGUUUGAUCCCACAAAUUUCCAGACGUUUUUGACAUUUUUGCUAUUUUUUUAAAAUUUACUGUUCAUCGGUUUACUGUUCAUGCGGACGAAAACCGCCCGAAGCGGUAUGAGGAACGAAAACUAUUCGGUUUUGAUAGUUAAGGGACGAAAACUAUCCGGUUUUGAGUUGAGGGACGAUUUCUAAACUCCCGGAAAAGUUCGAGGACGAAAAAUAUACUUAUCCCUUUAAACAAUGCCCUCGGAUUUGCAAAGCCACUUGACUAGUUGGUUGGAAACUACAAAAAAUAAGUAGUUGGAAAAGUUUUAGUGUUUCAUUGACAUCGCAUAAAACUCCUAGGAACAUGGGGUGCGACAAAUGAAAAUUAACAAAUCAUUGACUGAGGAGCUACGUAACAACAGUGAGCAAGCCAUCGUGCCUUCACCUCUAAAUUGAAAUGAUAUGUCCGUGAAGGGGAGAUAUCGCGCAAGUGUGGCGGAAGUAAUGUACUACUCAACAAUGGAAUAACCCCAAAUGAAGGAGAUGUGCAGCGCCCACUUUUUGCACCAUACGAGCCAGAUAGAAUGACCGGAAAAAGGGUCUUGGAAAAUUAAAUCCACUCAAGGACAAAAUAUAAGAAAUACAUAAUCUAGGGUUGUGACCCGAACCUAUUGACUAAACUUUCAUGGCAGAUAACAGGACAAAACUUGAAGUAAUCCCCAGGCAUGCCCACUCUGCAGAUGGUCUCCAUCGACGCCGUCUUGGGGUCAUAGUAUCCCAAUGACCAGCCCGUGUUGAGCAAAAUCCGUCCACCUUUUAGAUCAAUGGCCAAAGGUGUAGUCCACUCAGACGAAUACUCAGGCGAGAACUCUUCCAAAUCUAUACGAUAUUCCUUUAACCAGAAGCCAACGUCCUUCAUCAUCCAUAUGGAGAUCACGUUCAUGGUCUUGUCCGAACAAGUCACGCAAAGCGCACCUUGGAGCUCGAGGAUGCCAGGAUGGACAGAUGCCCGUUGCCAUGGCUGCCGCAUGGAGGACCUGGAAGAACCUCAAAUUCCUCCUUCUCGACAUCGAAUGUGAUGAUUUCACAAUGUAGAGAAACUGGCCCGAGGUUAGGCUCCACCAUCCAUGUUAGAGUUGUGUCGAAUAUUAUUGUACAAGGUAGGUUACAGUUGGACUUGGUUUUGGACUGUGUGUAGACAUGGUAGGAGUUGUGUCCUAAUAGGACACUUGUAUCCUAGGCCUCUCAUAUAUAUCGGGGGUAGACACACGAUGUAACAUAUGCCAACAUAAUAGCACGGGCACGCGGGGGAGCCGGCGGCGUGUGCCGGCGCCCGGGCGGCCGGGGUGCGGUAUUGUGAAGGUGUCACGGGGAGGAGUGCCCGUAGUCAGGCCCCGGGGAUGUAGCCAUGAUAGUGAACCUCGUUAACAAAUCUCGGUGUCGUGCUGGUGUGAUUGUUUGGUCCUCGGUAGAUCGACGGUAUGCCUCGGAUUUAUUCUAACAAGUGGUAUCAUGAGCUAGGUUAUUUAGAGGUCGCAACUGCGUUGAUCUAGAGGAGACGAAGCCGGUUUGCUGUUUAUUUCGUCACGGCGGCGAACGAAUCAGCGGACGGAAGGCUUGGUUGAAAAGCAAUCCGAAUUAGAGAAGCUGUUCGGGGUAGAGUCGGCGAGAUUGAAAGUUCCAAAAAAUCGGAAGCGCGUGCGGAAGUAGCUGGGUUCGAGGUGGCAAGGAUCCGAGCGUAGAGCCUGCGGCAGCAGGGAGAGGAUGCGGCACGGGAGGCUCGACACGCGCGUUGGCGGGCGAGCUAGCAUGUUUUCAGGCCGAUCGCUAGAUGCAGGCUGGAGCUGGGCCGGAUGCAGUAGCAGGCCCAUGGCACUCGGAUGGCCCAAACGCAGCAAGCUGGGCACGCAGGCGGUCCAUCAAGGAGCAGCUUUAAUCGCUACAUGUCUACAGAAGGAGCUUCGGUGCAUGCAGGCGAUAGGAGAUUUGUUAAAAGGAAAAGAGCAAUCAAAAGUCAAAGGGCAGGAUUCAGGACACGUUGCGUAUUUGGUGCUGUUUGUGCUAGAAAGUACAUGGAGUGCAUGCAUCAGGAAGAUACGUGAUGUGUAAGAGGAGGACUGGCGUUGGUUGUUGGAUUGCGAUCAUAUUCUGGUGGUUCUAGACAAUUGCAAGGAAUAUCAAGGUGCCAUGCAUGGGCAGCAGGGAUGGUUCUUGUAUAGUUUAGAUGGUGUUGGCAUGAUCAGCUUGCUCAGGGGACUAUGACAAUCGGCAGAGUUAGGUUUGCAAGUGUUGUCACGGCCGUAGAGCAUGGACGACGUGGACAAACAAAUACAGAGUCGUGCGAGUCCGGAUGGUUUUAGCGAGAGAAGCCAUUAGAUGAGCAGCGGGUGAUCGGAGAGCCACACGGCAGGAGGACAACUGGUGGGCGCGUGGUCGGACUGAUGGCUUUUGGUCAGUUAGAACAUCCUACGAAAGAGACAACAAUAAACUGGUGACGUGCGUAUAAGGCUCGGAGGAGUCUGGAGCUCGUCUUACAGGUUCAUGCAUACACAGGGCGUCAAGCAAUGUACGAAUGUGCGGAGCGGACAUGACGCAGGGUGGAGCAUGGUUGCAGUCGGAUAAUUUUCGGCUGGGUCGGACUGGACUGUCUGACGAAUCAACGGAUAUGUUGGUGAAAGCAGAAGACGGUGGUGAUUUCGGCGACGACGACAUAGGAGCGUGAUGCUGAUGAUGGCCGGCUUCUGGGGCGUGGAAACACGUGGUGCAAGCUUGAGGGCUUGUGCGGUUUCGACAGACUAUGGCGCGGGGUUGAUUCAAGACGGUGCGCACAAGGGAGCUUGAAGUCAACAGGGCACGGGGCAGCAUGGCUAGCUACAUAGAGUCAUGUUGAAGGUGGAGCUGAAGUCUGAUGGACGACUUCACUCUGUGCUGAUGGAGGGGCUACGGCGUAAAUGCAUGGAGAGUCGAAGCCUAUUUCAGCGGGAUAGCGAGAGACACGUGGAUCGGACUGGGUACCAGUGGUCUGAUGGAGACGUGAUACUCGGCAUCGGUCGGUGAUGAUCGAUGGUUCUCUGCAGUGGGGGUUGAGGCAGUGUGGGCUAGCUACCCGGGAGACUCGACCAGGACAGCAGAGGCUCGACGCGGUGAUAGCGGCGAGGCGUGCGGUAAGCACGGGACACAGCGACAGACCAAGGCACUGGUGGUCAGACAAAGUGUGCAAGGGUGUUGAAGCAGUGUUGACGAGUACUAGAUUCAAGUUGGUGUCUGGGUCUAUCGGUGCUAGUUGAUGGACAGGAGUUGACCGUAGAGAAUCUGAGAAAGUGGCGGAAAGUCUGAAAUUGUCAAAAGCUGAGAGAGUACAUGGCCGUAUAUUCUGUGGUGUUCAGUGCGGAUGACAAGGCAGAAGGAGGCGGAGUGCUAUAGCUACGGGACAUGUCAAAUACUAUCCGGGAAAAAGGAUGAGACAACUGUGAAUUUGACUCAGGGUGACACAGGGCGACGGUGAAAUUCCUUCAAUUUUCAGACAGACGGUCAAAAAAGAGCGGUGAUGUUGAGUUCAGGUAACUCUUGUAUGUAACAUCCAAUAUGUGAGUUGUUCACUUUCACGCAGAUAAAUUAUCGGUGUGUGAUGGCGUUGAACGGAAACUCCGGAAGUUGGGAGCACAAAGUAGAGUAUUGAGGAACUUAAUUUUGCUCGAGUAUUGACUGUGAGGAAGACGAGAAGGAACUACAGUUGCAGGUGGAGUCAUGUCGAGUCUGAGAGUAGCAGCGGUGCUCAUGGCGUAUCUCAAGUCCAAUGUACAUGGAGGUUCGACGCACGGAUGAAUCCAAGAUGGUGGAGAAUAUUCGUCAAGGUGGAGUUUGUUAGAGUUGUGUCGAAUAUUAUUGUACAAGGUAGGUUACAGUUGAACUUGGUUUUGGACUGUGUGUAGACAUUGUAGGAGUUGUGUCCUAAUAGGACACUUGUAUCCUAGGUCUCUCAUAUAUAUCAGGGGUAGACACACGAUGUAACCUAUACCAACAUAAUAGCAUGGGCACGCGGGGGAGCCGGCGGCGUGUGCCGGCGCCCGGGGUGCGGUAUAUAUUGUGACGGUGUCACGGGGAGGAGCGCCUGUAGUCAGGCCCCGGGGAUGUAGCCAUGAUAGUGAACCUCGUUAACAAAUCUCGGUGUCGUGCUGGUGUGAUUGUUUGGUCCUCGGUAAAUCGACGGUAUGCCUCGGAUUUAUUAUAACAAUCCAGAAAAUCUUGCCAUCAAUGCAGGUGGGUUGGAUGUUAGCUACUGGUCUAGGAGGAGCAUCUAAUGAAAUGACAUUCUUGUUCUUCCACAUACCGCAAGCUGCAUUCAAGUUGGUAUUCUCGCGUCGAGAAGUUCUUCUCUUUGUAGGUCAUACGCACUAGAACAUGCUCACCAUUCUCGCAGUCGUAGCCCAACGCGAUGCGACCCGCAUAGAAAGUGUCAUCGUUGAGAUUUUGAAACUCCAUUCUCUCAAUGUAUCCCAUGGCAGGGUUGCACACAAAACUCCGAGAAUGGCAGCUCCCCACAUUGAGUCCUCGACUAGGCUGGGAACAUACUAGAUCAGGAAAAUGAACCUACGUGCUUUAUUUGCCAAGUUUUACAAAGCUUAACUUUUUCUCUUUGUAUUUAGCCACAAGCUCAUACGCAAACUAAUGGUGAUUGAAAAUAACUACUUUUAAUUUAAUUACAACAACAGUAUUGUUUCAGACUUCACAUGGAAAUAAAAACUCCUAAAAGUUGGUGCGGCGAAUGAAAAAGAGAAAAAGGAGCGAUCGACACCCUAUGCGGCGACAGGUAGCAGGCCGUUGUGCCUGAGCAGUGGCUCCGGCGACGGCUCCCGUCCUCUGAAAGCAACGAAAACCUGCAAAAAAACAAAAAAAAAAAUCCGGCGUCGGUAGCGGUCUUCCAACAACUCUAACACCAUGGAGAAGAUAUACUUCAAAAGUAGCUCGACGACUAACCUCGAGAGGAGAUUUUCCACCUCCAAGUGCAAGAACCGUUUCUCUGAAUCGUCUGCCGGUCUCCUCAAUUGCCUGCAAACAAUGAACAGGGUAUUCAUCAGCAAGAUUGAAAAAUCAUCGUGUUUUUUAUUUUGCAAUCAUGCAAGGGUGGAUUCAGUAUGGAAAUACAUACAUUUGGCAAGAUAAUCAAAUGAAGUUGAGCGAACAAGUGACAAAAAAAAGACAAGAUUCAGUCUCAGGCUAGUAGUCUCAGUUUCCUCUGAGCGAGCGGACAACAUACCUUCUCAUUAUCCAGACCAACAUCUUCAAAUGCUGAGAAUGCAUCAGCUGAUAGUACUUCAGCCCACUGCAAAGAGGACACGAAAAGAUACAAACUUUAGUCAUGUUCACCAUCAGGGGUCAGGACAAACAGAAAUUCAGAUGUGCUAUGACAAUCUACCUUGUAACUGUAGUAUCCAGCUGCAUAGCCACCUGCACAUAGCUCAUGAUGUAAAUGAGAAGCGAAAUCCAUGAUGAAUCAGAUGAAUUUACAUGUUAGUCAAAGCGUGGCAAACCUGCAAAAAUGUGGCUGAAUCCACACAGGAAUCUGUCCUCUGGCAGAGGAGCGAGAACCUGGGUUUUUUCUGCAACCCUUCGGUCAACAUCAUACACGGACACUGGUCCACUUGGAUCAUAAGUUGUAUGCAGUUCCAUAUCCACACUUGCAAAACGUAUCUGCAGACAAACAUUUAAUUAUUUAAAUAAAAAGACGAUGGAACAACACAGAUCAGUAACAGCAAAUAGUCAGGAAAAACACAUAAGAUCGCAGCAUUCACUCAAUCAUGUGACAGGUUCCUCAAACAUGUAGAAGUGGUAAAAAUAUGUCAAAAUGAUGAAUGUCACCUGGAAACAAUUGCAGACGGGUGAAUUAAAGUAAAUAAACAUGUGCAUACAACAUCCCACCUAUCUUACAAACAACAGUUUUCAAGCCAUAAACAUUCCAUUUCAAGUAACUGUUUCUAAAAUUUAAAUCAGUUAUAAUGGUCUGAUUGCAUAUAUGUCUAGUCAUCAAGUUCAUCGACCUUUGACCCAAGCACGCAAGUUUAAGGACGUACGGUGAAAUUUGCGAUAUGCAAUGUAACCAUUACAAAACAAUACCAAAUAAUGAUAACAACAAGGAAAGCAUGAGAGCCCAAGCCAACAUACCUGACGGAGACUGAAGGUGCCAGCACGGAAAUUCUUUGCAGCCACAAGCUUAGCAUAGAUUUCCUCUGGAAGAGGUUCACCGGUUUCAUAAUGCUUUGCAAUGCUCAAAAGAGUAUUCCUGUUACACCAAUGCAACAAGUCAUUAAUUACCAGAAUCAGGCAAGACCCAAGCCAAACCGAACAAAAUAGAGCCAUCGUACUUGUGAUAGCACCAGUUUUCCAUGAACUGAGAGGGUAACUCUACGGCAUCCCAUUCUAUUCCACUGAUACCAGCAACAAAGGCUUCAUCUUGUCUGGUAAGCAUAUGCUGCAGCGCGUGACCAAAUUCAUGGAACACGGUUUCAACCUACAGAAGCCAUGUGCAAUAAAUUUUUUCUUACAAACCAUAAUAUGGAUAGAUGAUCUUCCUAUAUAUUUACAGCAUGCAUACAUAAUCAUAACUUUUUUUAUAUGUAUAAGAAUACACAGAAUAAUAUACCAUAACAAGUACACUGCUUACCUCACGAAAGGUCAUAAGACUGGGCUUAUCGCCAACUGGUGGCAUCUGAUUACACACCAUAUGGGCAACAGGCAGCCUUACAGAAGACCCAUGGCGAGCUAGCACACUACUACGAGAAAAUACGACAUUCAUCCAAGCCCCACCACGCUUUUCAGAUGGUCUUGAGUAUGGGUCGAAGUAAAAAUAAGCAACGGGGCUAUUGGAAGAAUCUUUGACACAAUAAAAUUUGACGUCACUGUUCCAAACCUGAAAGAGUGAUCACUGGUCAACAUUUGCAGAAUAUUUACUUAUGUUAAGAGAAGUGAAUGGAUACUUACAGGAGCCAAUCCAUCUGCAGCUUCAACGGUUAUUCCAAAGAGCUUAUUCGCAAGACUGAAGAGGCCAUCCAUAACCUUGGGCAGUGCAAAGUAAGGACGCAGUCCUUCCUGCAAUGGUAACGCUCAAGUCAGCUCAAUGGCAUAUAUCAUUAUGAUGUGCAGUAUGUCAGCACUUUGUUUCAAGCAGAGCAAUUUUGUUCAGCAAAUAUAUAUUGGAUAAGUCUCAGCAACAGAAAUGCAAGGAAAUAUAGUCGAAACAGUUCCAAAAGCAGACUAAUGAGAAACCUAUCAAAUCGCAGCAAAAAAAACAUUAAAAUAUACUUCUGUAAAGAAAGAACCUCAUCGAUGUCAUAUUUAGAUUCCCGCAGUCGUUCACUCCAGAAGUUAAGAUCCCAGUGUGCUAGAUCAUUGGCUUCUGCAGAACCAGAAUCUUUCACAAAGGCUUUUAGGUCUUCCAUAUCUGCAUUAAGAAAAGCAGCAGUUAAGAUAUUUGUGGUAUUUCAGCCUAGUCCUUGGCCUUCAUAGAAAGAUACAUGAGAAAAAUAUUUGCUAAUGGAGAGAUAUAAUGAUGCUGAUGGAUAAUUGCUCCUACUUUUGUUUGGGAUCUCUCAAGAGAGUUAAGGUGGCAAUACAAAAACAAGAAGCAAAACAUCAAAGAUAAAUGAUAAAAGGGUCCAAACUCCAAAAUGUAUCUUCUGCUGUUACAACUCCAGAAUAUCUUAAUAAAAUAGGCAAAAAGAAUAUAGAACACUGGCUAGAAACAAGGAUCCUAUUAAUCUGAUGUAAAGAAUGUCAAAGAGAAUAACUUGGCUGGUUUUACCUUGGACAGCAUGAUCCCAGGAAGCAGCACGGAUUUUCUCAAGAAGCUCUUGCACCCGGUCAACAGUUGCCAUUUUCCGAGCCAUGCUUACCUUCAUGAUUGUCAUCAGUUAGCUAAAAUACAAUAGUACUCGGCACUGUUUUAAAUGUGGACAGGGCAAUGGUAAGCUUGCGCACCUCAGCAAAGUUCUUGUAGCCAAGUAGUUUAGCCUUCUCUAGCCUCAACUUCAGAAUCUGACUUAUGAUAUCAGUGUUAUCAAGAUCGCCGCUUGAUGCACGGGUUAGAUAAGCGCGAUAUACUUCUUCACGGAGAGCCCUGUUCUUGGCAUGUUGCAUGACAGCCAUGAAGCUUGGUGCGUCUAGUGUGAUCAUCCAAGGUCCAUUUUCAGCUGAAGCAUUUUCAUGACCCUAACAAAAUAAUUUGUCAGCAUAGAAAAUCAUGCAGGGGGAUCAAACUCCUAAGCUACCAUAUUUUUGUUUACACUUCAUAAUGCUCACCUUUGAAACAGCAGUCUGUGCUGCUAAGCCAAGAGCUGAGGCAGGUAAACCAUCGAUUUCUUUCUUAUCAGUAAUCAAUUUCUCAAAUUUCUUUGUUGCAUCCAACACAUUUUCACUGAACUUCUCUGACAGCUUUUCAAGUUCCUGAAAAAAAAACAAUCCAUUAACAUCAACAAGAAGCGGAAAUAUGAAAAAUAAUCGAUAACACAGUACUACGUCAGGCAUUGGAAGUACCUAACAACAUGCGAUCAGCAACAAGACUAAAAACAAACUACGCACACCGUAAUAAGUGACAACAAAGGUAUGCAUGGGCAGUCACCACCACAAUGGUUCAAAGAUAAAAACAUAGAUGUAAUUAUUUUAAGAUGCAGAGACUCAUAUACGACAGGGAAUGGCUCGCUUGCUAGACCAUCAAUACAUGUACCGUUACGCUUCCAGUCAGGUUGGUACACUUAGCAUAUGUACAAUAAAUAUAAUCUGUCAACAUCUGAUAAGAACAAAUAGCCUACUUGUUGGAUUUGAUUGAAUUUUUCCCUCUGCUCAUCCUCAAGCGCAACUCCACCAAGAACAGCAUCCUUUAUUUGGCCUGGCAAGGAAGAGAAAAUACAUCAUUAAAAAAUACAUCAUUAGGAGCAUAAAAUGCAUAUGCAACAUGUGCGGUUAAGCAGGAAAAGAAAAGCGACGAAACUGACACGAGCCGGCUCUUAGUAAGUAUUGAGAGACAGCGACAUUGCUUGCUUCUUAUUGGCAGCAAUACAAUUGACUCAGUGUGUCACUAUGGGUAUAGAGAAUAUUACCUUCGACGACACGCUUGCGGGCGUCGCUGAGGCUGUCCCAGUCUGAAGAAUUCCUGAUGGCGUUGAAGGCCUCGUAGAUUGGCUUGCUCUGCCCCAGCCUCAGGUAGAACUUCACUUUCUCGGGCUGUUUAAAUUCAAGAUCGAUCGAGUUAAUCAGUUGAAGCAACACGGGGCGUAGCAUAUGAGAUAGACAAUUAUCAAGCACUUGAUUGAAACAGCAUGGAAUCGUCAGCCUCUACCCUCUAGUGUGGUACCAUAUCCCCACAAAAAACAUGCGGACCAAAGUCGUAAUAAGCACUAAAACAGAUUAAGGAUCUAUGAUAAUUUUCUACUAUGUACUAGUAUUGCUGGAUAAUAACUCGUGGAGCAAGCCAAAAUACAGAGACAGGAUCUGAUGAUGCGCUAACUAAUCGACGACGGCUCCGUCCGUCCAGAUCACGGGCUGCGGCGCGACCGAAGAAGGUGAGAGGGGACUGUCACCUGGACGUCCUCUACGGCGGCGCGGAGGUCGGCGGAGUCCUUGACGGCCUUGAGGUGGUCGACGACGUUCCAGACGACGUCGAGCCUGUCGACGAUGCGCUCGAGCGGGUGGACCAGCUUCUCCCACGCCGGCUCCACGCCCUUCUCCAGCUCCUCCAGCUCGCCCUCCUGCAGCCACACACAAACCGGCGGUCAGAUCCGUACGGGCGACGAACGAACGAAGGUUAGAAGAGGAACGGGGGGCUUACGAGGCGGGCGAGGAGCGCGCGGAUCCCGGGGCGGACGUGGGCGGGCUCGACGCGGUCGAAGGGCGGGAAGUCGAAGUCGGCGAGCAGCGGGUUGCUGCUGNNNNNNNNNNNNNNNNNNNNNNNNNNNNNNNNNNNNNNNNNNNNNNNNNNNNNNNNNNNNNNNNNNNNNNNNNNNNNNNNNNNNNNNNNNNNNNNNNNNNNNNNNNNNNNNNNNNNNNNNNNNNNNNNNNNNNNNNNNNNNNNNNNNNNNNNNNNNNNNNNNNNNNNNNNNNNNNNNNNNNNNNNNNNNNNNNNNNNNNNNNNNNNNNNNNNNNNNNNNNNNNNNNNNNNNNNNNNNNNNNNNNNNNNNNNNNNNNNNNNNNNNNNNNNNNNNNNNNNNNNNNNNNNNNNNNNNNNNNNNNNNNNNNNNNNNNNNNNNNNNNNNNNNNNNNNNNNNNNNNNNNNNNNNNNNNNNNNNNNNNNNNNNNNNNNNNNNNNNNNNNNGCUGCUGGUAUCAUCCGCGGCGUCCGCCAUGGCGGAGGCGGUGGAGUAGGCGGAGCAGGCGAUUGGGGAGGGGCGGGCGCGGGGGCAGAAGGCGCGGAGCGGGGAGGAGGCGGGGAGGAGGGAGAGGAGGCGGAGGGCGGGGAGGGGGCUGGUAGGGUUCCGGGCGAGGCGGCGGGCGGAGUGGGAGAGGAGGUGGGAGGCGCAAGUGAGCAGCGUGGGAGUCAUGGCCGCCGCCAGGAGGAGGAGGAGGACGAGGAGCACGAGGGUGCUGCGCUGACGUGCCGGGCCCAUCGCUCGGUCACACCACGUGUGGGCUUUGGAUGGGCCGCCGCGGGAGAGAGAUUAUCCCCUCGGGGUUUUUGGACGGCGCACGCCACGCCACGCCGUCCUUUGUCAAAAAAAAAUCUAUAUAUUUAUCAGAGAAGGAAAACUGUAAUGAAUAUUCAUCACACCUCAAUCCACUUGUAAUUACGUCACAGUUUGCACUCGAACUAAAAAGCUUCUAAACACACUUGUUUUCCACUCGGCAGGUCCAAACUUUGUACACUCACACAAACCUUUUGUUCGAAUCGUAUGGUUAUAAUUAACGGCGGCAUGGGAAUAGGCUCUUCUUUUGCAGGUAGACAUAUAUAGGCUUUUUAUCAGCGGCAUGAGAAACAGCCCAACUUUGGAGGCACAAACCCUCAGGAUUGACAAAGUCACCAUAGGCCUCGCUGUCGACAUAGGCGGGGUAUCGAACGUACUAGGGCUUCAUCCCUUGUUGGGUUAGGCUUGGGAUACAGUCAUAUAUUGUUCCUAACUACCAACCUUUACUUAGUUCCUCGAUUGAAUACAACUAGUUUUCGAGAGUGGUGUGCUGACACAUGAGAGCGCGAGCUCCUGGUUUUUAAAUGUGUUUUAAACAUGUUUUGAAAUGUCAAAAAAUUCCAAACAAAAACUUGGCGCGUAUAUCUCGAUAUUGUACAUGCUCACAAAAGUCGUUUCGUGAAAAACCGACAACUUAUGUGUCGCGUCUCACCUGUGAAGAAGACAAAAUCUGGUUUUAAAAAUGCUUUUCACAAGACAAGACAUCCUUUUGUCUUUUUUACACAAGCCACAAAAAAUAUCGGUUUUCUCCGAAACUUGAUAUGCAGACAUAUAAUGUCGAGAUGUAUACGCCAAAUUUUUGUUUGGAAUUUUUUCACACUUUGAAAAAAAAAUCGCAUGCAUGAGCGCGCGCUCCCGGGAGCACCAACGGAUUUCCGAUGCCCACCCACACAAGGUUGUUGCAGAGGAUAAUAUAAUAUCGAAAUGCCAUGUGUGAUUUCUUUUUUACUUGAAACAAGAUUAAAGUUUCAUAAAUCGUCAAUUGCUCAACCAGAUUUAUUUUUUUAAUGGUUUUUGUUAGAUAAUAAUAAUAAUAAUGGAGCCUUUUCCAUUGUUGGCCUAACGCUUUACUGUUUCACCAUUAGUUGUGGAUUUCAUACCUUGGUAAGUUGGAAUACAUACAUUCCGUGGAUUGCCAUGGAAUUCAUUCAGUUUUGAUUUCACCAUGCAACCAGCACACGCAUCACGCAUGUACAUGGGAUUAUCUCGUCAGUGAGAACUCAACAGAGGGGGGAGGAGGACUGGAUUAGCAAGCUAGCAGACUAGCACCGAUCAGCAGCACGGCACACGCCGGCGCCGUGACCGACCGUUGCUACCGCAUGGGCAUGGCGGCGAUGGCACGGCUGCAGAGGCGGGAGACGUCCGAGGGGCGCACGGGCUUGAUGAGGAACUCCUCCGCGCCCUCGUCGAGGCACCGGCGGAUCCUGGUGGGGGAGUUCUCCGACGACAUGAUCACCACCGGGAUGCCGCGCAGCUCCGCCGACUCCUUGACCCGCUUGAGCAGGUCGUAGCCGGUCAUCUCCGGCAUGCAGUAGUCCGUGAUGAUCAGCUGCACGCUCUCGUGGCCCAGGCUCAGCACCUCCAGCGCCUUCUUCCCGCUGUCCACCGUCGUCACUGCACAAAUUAGGAAGAAGUUUCAGUUCAGUUCAUUCAAGGCUCAUUUCUUCUCCGUUCAGAUUCAGUCAUGGAAUGGGAUGAGGUGGUACCUCUGUACUUGGAGCUGCGGAGGAGCCUGGAGAUGACGACGCGGUCGACAAGGCUGUCGUCCACGGCCAGGACGUGCGGCGGCUCCUGCACCGUCGUCGACAUCGGGCAGAGGCAGCAGAAGGGGAUGGAUGAAGGUGAUGCCUGUUGAUUUGGUUGACAAGUAAGUGGCUUAGCUGGGCAAGGUGGCAACAGGAAGCAGCGGUUUUAUAUAUACAGGGGCGGUUAGCGAGGGGCCGUCCCACGGAGUAGAAUAGAACCCCAAGAAAAGGAGGCAAUGCAAAGUACAAAGUACAGCAAGAAAAAACAAAGGGAUGAGAUCUAACCAAAUCCGGAGAGCCGGUGGCGCAGCGCUGGCCUACGCGAAGCAGAACAGAAUACUAUCCAAACCAAUCAAUAAUCCCCAAGUUUUGUAAUUCGAUUCCCGGGUCCCCAGAUUAUACUAGUACAUGUUGCACAUGCCGCAAUUGAGCCGAGCACUGUGACCCCAGGGCCAGGGCAGAUGAUGAUGAUGAUGAUCAGCACCCUCAUCUGAUUAAAAAUGCCAAGCAUCAGGCAAGUCAAACGCAGGUGUGAGUGAUUAGGAGGAUUAGGGCGCUAACUAAACAACCUCGCUCGAUCUCAUCCGCUCCGUUCCUGAUGACUCACCGGUUAUCGCUUGGUUUUCUUAUGCUCAAACCUAAACAAGAUCCAGAUCCUGACUAGUAUACUGAUUCGGUAGGCUGAUCUCUAGACAAUGGGCAUGCAUGCUUGCUUCACUCUCAUGAUUCCAUAUCGCGCUAGUUGGUUGCCUAAUUCGGAUACAUCUCAAAGAGCCGGGCAACUUUGCUAGGUGCACUGUCUCUUGUUUCGGCCAACAAAAACUAUGGCCCAAACACUGAACCUGUCCUGUCGACCGUUCCAGGCCGAGCAAGGAAGGGUUAAGGUAAGCAAUGUAAGGCGCUGAAAUCGGAGACAGAGUUCAAAAGAACCUUUAAGACAAGGUUUGUGCAUCAUAUAUCUACCCCGGCCACAGCCUAUGUUGCCCACCCAACAGCAGGUGUACUAAACCAUCCACGUCGCGAAGAGUAACUAAUUCUGGAGCACCACAGAAUAAUGUUUGUGAUCACGCACGAACUGUGCACAUUCAGCAUAUAAUUAAGAAAUAGAGCAUCUUUCGGAUCAUUAGUUUUUGUGCGCGGCAACUACUGCCCCCACCCCGACCCUGCUCCAAUAUUGAACUGGCAGAAGCGUGCAAUAAUUCGCGGGGCAACCAAAGAUAUAAGAGCCCAGAGAUUCUGAAACAUGAUGUCUGACCUGAAGAAGCCCAUUUUUUAAACUCGUGGGAGUCAGUUCCUCUGCAUCUGGACUGCCAUUCAGAGUGCCCGCAUCCAUGCUCCAGCGGAUGGCGUGUGAUGGCAACAUGGCUGGUCGCGGAAGGGGGAUUGGUACCGCUCAUCGAUCUCGGGAGCUGCACAACUUUUAUUUCUUUCCGGGGUAUUUUACUGGCUCAUAUUCAGAAGCGUACAGGUGUUAGCUGCCCAUGCACGAGCCGCUGCUCCUGCGUAAACAUCAAAAGAACAGAAGCAAUAAGGUCAACUCAAGAGAAACACAAUUCAGCUGUUGCUUCUGGUAAACAUAAGAACUACAAGGCUAAAUGUCAACCAUGUGAUGUGGUACAUGCACUCAAAUGAAGAUGGUACAAAUUUAGGACCUGAAAAAUAUAAUCUACAGGAAAACUGAUGCAAUAUACCGAGUUUGUGGCACAUUGCUUACUAUCAGAGUCCUUCAACUCCGAGGGCACCUAUUGUGGGUUUGCAUUAGAAAAAUAUACAAACUCAGACUACACUGCCUGCAUUACAAGACACAUCUUUCAUCAGACAGAUGGCAUCAUGGAGCACAUGAGGUCCCUGAUUUCAGGCUGUUCACAUCAAGCAUUACCAUCCAAAAGAUUUAAUGGGUUGACAUACAGUUAACCACAGCACUACGUGAGAUUGACAAAAAAAAUUAAAGUUUGGGAUCGAUACUCUAUGCAAGUCAACCAUGUCACUGUGAUCUGAAGCAUCUACCAUGAUCCGCCGACCAAAAACCACGAGAUUGUAACAGUUCAUUGACAGCUGGUGGCAUGAACGCAAUGAUGCACAACUGAGAGUUAAUCAAUCAAAGUGCAUUGUAUCAGACAAGUACUGACAAAUCAGACAAGCCUCAUUAAACACGGUUCAUCUACAGCGAGUGGUGACAGGCUGACAGUUCUCAGGAUAUCCUAUCAAUCACACAAAUCACAGAAAUACACCCAAAUUUCAUAUAUAUGACAAGUAGACAAACUAGUUUGAACCGAACUAUAGUUUACUAGAUCUUAUCAGAAACAAGAUAGUAUCACACAUCUUGUAACAUGAGAUGCAACAAUUUUGAGUUACCAAAUGUAGUAUCUCCGAUGGGGUUGUCUCAGGACAUGGAUGCGAUGGUCUUCACAGAGAGCCAUUGUUUGACUGAUAAAGAACUGCAACACAAUAGUUAUGUACAAUAGCUGCAGGACAAAUUUAUAAUGAAAGCCUCGGUAAUUCAUAAACCACAAAAAAUAGCAAUAAUUAUUGAAGAAAUAAAAUUGGAAUGCAUAUGAGUAUAUGAAAAAACUAGGGAAAAUAUUUGACAAGAUAUAUGAUGUACCAACUUGAAGUGCACUAGCAGAAUCACUCGCUUUUACUCAUUACCGAAAUCAAAACAGAAACUUCUGUUGUAAAAUUCCAAUGCUUUAAUACCCUUCAACUCAUACAAAAUAAGGCACCAAAUGAGGCACUCAUGCAAAGUACCACUGCCUAAAGAAUAUCACACUAUGACAUAUUAUACAUGGGCUACUGAUGGCAGUAUAUUUACCCAGAUAUACAGAGCUAUACAACUUCAAUCCAAACUAAAAAACAAAGAGAGAGAAAACUAUGAAAGAGCCUUAUCUUUCAUCAAAUCCUCGAUUCUUGACGGCAAAAGGCAAGAAUUAGGACAUUUCCACUCCAAGCGCAAGCAACUCAAUCCAGAGGCGAUUCCUGUUCUUCACCUCAAGAUGAUGAUUUUGAGAACUCCCGUAUUACUUUGUACAAAAACUCCAUGUAUUGGACUUCUUUCCCUCGUCCUCUGAGCACACGAAACUAAUAAAGAACAAUCUCCAAUCUCCAGUAUUAGAAGCUUUACACAAAAGAAAAAGAACCAGCUCCAGUCGCAAGCUUUUAGAUGCUCUUGUGAGGUUACUCAGUAGUUGACCAUUCUACUGAAACACAUGCAGC